Molecule: long non-coding RNA, 5475 nt
Organism: Alexandromys fortis (reed vole)
Lineage: Eukaryota; Metazoa; Chordata; Mammalia; Rodentia; Cricetidae
Exons: 2
Source: RefSeq, a predicted model, not a curated record
GUAGACUCUGGGAGACCUGGCUUGAUUUGUCUGAAUGGCAAGCGGCUCUCCUCCUGGCUCUUCUGUGAACGUGGAGAACACACACAUCUUCUAGAAAAUAUCUUACAGAUAAUGCCAGAUGCCUCAACAUAUAGGCUGGGAAACCACAGAGCGAGUGAGAAGAGUCAGAAACCAAGACAAACGAUGUCUUCAAUGAGAAAAGCCGAAGCCGACACCGAACAGGGAGAAUCGUCCUGACGCUGAGACGCUGUUAGGGAGAACCGCAGUGGCCGUGCCAUAGUUGGAGCGAAGGAGUCUGGACACAGAAGUCUUUAUCCUGUUUCCAUGCCCGAGGGCAUGCACAUUUCGACAAGCUUGGAUGUCAUUGGCACAGGAAGUGGAGCAUAUGCUUAAAUAUGGAUUUCCUUUGCUAUUUGGAGACCCUUUCCCUGGUUUGCUGUUUCGGUGGGCUGCCACUACGCUCCAUUUGGUUGUCUUGGAUGGAGUAUCUCUUACCGUGGAUCUUACAGCUCCAAGCCUGGUGGCACCCGGCCACGAUGAGAGCAAGGAGAAGACCCCCUCCUGAGGGUUUUCAAGUUCUGGCUGUCUGGGGCCUCCAUAGUCCUCCCUCCUUCUGGAACACCAGACCCCAGGUUGAGCCCAGCUUCUUAGUGGAGAAACAGGACAUAUAAUGAAUGCUAGAACUUCAUCGAGGAGGCUGUCUCAGUUAGAUUUCUAUUGCUGUGAUAAAGUGCCAUGGCCAAGGCAGCUUACAAAAAAAAAAAAAAAAAAAAAAAAAAAGAGUCUUAUUUUGGCUUAUGGUUUCAGACGGUUAGAGUUCAUGUUGGUGCAGUGAAGAUAGAGCUGAGUGCUUACAUCUUGAUCUACAACUGAAAGAGACAGAAAGAAAGAGAGAGAGAGAGAGAGACAGAGAGAGGAUACACACCAAGACCAGUAGGAGUCUUUUGAAACCUCAGAGCCUACUCCCAGUGACGUAUCUUCUUCAACAAGGCAGAAUCCUCCUGAUCUUUUGCAAACAGUUCCACCAAUUGGAGACCAAGUAUUCAGAUAUAUGAGCCUUUGAGGCUACUCUCACAGAAAUCAUCACGAGAGAUAAAGAAGGGCCCCAGUGAGUCGGAAGCGUGGGGCAGUAUCGUCAGUUGCAGUUCUCCGGGUCAGAAGUAUCUCUGAGAUCUCCAUGUUGAACUCCAAACAAGGCUCCACCAUUCACAGCUGCUUCUUUUGUGCUUUGGGAGCCUGCAGUGAGUCCAGGAGGGAACCACGCAGAUGGUCAUUCGCCGUGACUGAGAACUUCCACCCAGUGCGCCAGUGACUGAAGUGAACGACGGCCUGAAAUCCUGCGUGUCAAGAGCCGCAGAUCUGUUCCAGUGGCCACUGGCUACAUGGCUGGUUGUGGUGCAUAGGCUCUCAACAGGUGCUGCCCAAACCAUUUAGCCUUGUAAUGUGAUAAUGGCCUGCUGGUGUGAGAAAGGAUGGCUUGCGACCAACUGAGGGGAAGGAAGGUGAUCUUUCUGUUGAUGUUGUUCUAAAUCUGUAUCACAGCUUGGUUCGACUACACCAUCUCAUAAAUCAUAGUGAGCUGUAUGUUUCAAGAAAUCGGUGGGUAAAAUGUUCUUUAUGGGCACGCUGGGCCCCUCACUGAGGUUACUUCUCAGAUAAUGCCUCUUACUUCACGUCGGUUUUCUUUUACCCUGUAACUGGUGUAUCUGUCAUUUUUCCUGCACCGGGUUGUGGCUGAAGAGUCAGAAGAGUCAGGGCUCGAGGUUAAAUAACAAUUCUGCUGGUUUGGGACUUUGUCACAUCCAAGGAGUCUUUUCUCUGCAGCAAGGUCUCAGGCUCCUUUUUGUUUGUUUGUUUGUUUUUUGUAAGAUGGGAACUAAAGGGCCAGCAAGAUCGCUCAGAAGGACAAGACAUUUUCCUGCCAAGGUCAAACCUCUCUAAGGCCCCACGAGGUGGAAGGAAAGAAGUUACUUCCUUUGGCCUUCACAAGUGCACCACUGCACUUAGGGACUCAUAUGCAUACACACCCAAAACCAAUCCAAAAAGUACAUUUCAUGGAAAUAAAAUAUUCUCACAUUUUUGCUUUGUUGUGAAGAUUCUUGUCUGAGCAGGUAUACGGGGAAGUCUGGGAAUGGAUUGUCAUAUGAAUACUUGUUUUUGUUUGGCAAUCUGCAAUAUAAUAGUAUUCAUUCAUCGAGCAGAAGGAUGGAGGACAAAACCCUGCCCCUGGGGACCUUCUGUAGGCUGCCACUGACUAGACGGUGAUGGCAGUCUGGUUCGCCUGUUUCGUAGCCUAACACACUGCCCACAUGCCCUUCCAUCAUGAGUUUGAAGUCAUCAGGAGGGCCAUUGUCUGACUCCUCACUUUCGCCCAAACAGAUCCUGUCCACUGUGGUUCCUCAAUCUGCCAGGCUGUUUGCCUUGUCAAAGGAGGAGAUGAGGUUAGCUUUGUCCCCGUGGAGCCUCGCCUUUCUGUGUUGUCAUGGCCCACUCUCUCAGCUCUCUUCCAGGAUCGUGUCCAGGAGCAACAGUCAAAGCACUGGUGUCACGUGGGAUGUUCCUGCCACUUCUGUUCUUCCAUGCUAUUGUUUUGAAACCAGGAGCUUUGUUCUCCUCAUCUUUAGUCUUCUGGUACCAGAUCUGCUUUUCCCACCAGGAUUUAUGACAAAGGACGGUCAGGAGCCACCUCUUUCAGGUCCAGGUGGCAUUCACAGUGUGUUUUGAUCCCUCCACUCAUUUUCGCUGAGCACUGUGAAAUCAGCAUGGGUUGUGUUUGCCCUUGUAACAUCACCAUGGCUAAAGGCUUCAUGUUGAAAAGACCAUAGAAUGUGUUCUGAUACAUGAUCAAUGCAUCUAAAAAUACAGUGUUGCUUUCAGUCCCCCUGGGAAAACAAAACCAACCUUAUAAAAGGGCAGUAUGCUAUUAAGUAUAUUGUAAUACUUUGUUAUGGCUAGCAAAAUUAUAUGCUUCAUUGUUGAAAAGUCUAAAUUUAAAGAGAUAUUUGGGGGGUUGGAGAUGUAACUCAGUUUGUAGAAUACUUGUCUGGUAUGCAAAAUGUCUUUUUUUUUUUUUCACCAGAAUCUCAUAGAUCAGGCAUGAAGGUAUACACACACACACACACACACACACACACACACACACGUAUAUACAUAAUCUUAACACUUCAGAUGUGUGGAGGCAAGAUAAGAGGUUCAAGGUCAUCUUUAGCUACAUAAUGAGUCCAAGGUUAGCAAGUAUGUGAGAGCUUGGAGACAGACAGAAACACACACACACACACUGGGGCUGGGAGGAUGGAAGUUGAAAUUGAUUUGGUGUUAAAAAGCUCAAAGUCCAUUUGAGGCCAGCCUGGCCUACAUAGUGAGUUCUAGGCUACCCAGAGUUACAUAUUGAGAUUCUGUGUAAAACAAAAGCAAAAGCAAACCAAAUGAACAGAAACAACCAAAAUAAGCUCAAAGGCCAUUACAUGGAGUUUUUAACUUUGUGUAGCUCCGUGUUAACAUGAACAAAAUAGCUUAAUUUGAAAUUAUUUCCUAAUUAUAAAUAUAAUAGUACCAAUACAAAUGUCUAUUUAGUAAAUAAAUACUGUAUUUUUGUCUUAUGUUGGAUGUUUGACAUGCUUAAUUUUGUAUAACGUAAUUAUUGGGUAAGAUAGGGUUCGCGAUGAGAAACAGUCUUAGGCAGCCUGUGAACGAUGGGCAGAUGAGCAGGACUUGAAUUUAGAUCUCUUGGUGCAGACUCUAAGCUCUUAUUCUGUUCCAGCGUGACUUAGAGUGAUGCUUGACUUUUAAAUCUUUAUUUUCUGGCAUCCAAAUGACUGUGCGGAGUGACCUCCGACUUACACUCUGGUGGUGGGGAUCACUUUAAUAUGGCUGUAUGAUUAUAAGCUAAUUGCUGUGUAGGAAUACUAUAUACACUUCAGAUUCAAAGAAAUUUCCCAGGGAAACAAAGAGCUGCCUCUCUUCAUUGCUAGAAGACUUUGCCAUGUUUCUUACAAAUGUGUUGAUACAUUUCCCCUCUACAUACUUAUCCAUCAAAGCCUGGUGUUUUCCACUGCUAAGGCUGGGGCACCUGACGGAAAGCCAUUCUCCUCUGUCAUUUUGUCAGGAAUUGGUCAUAAAGAUGGGUUAAUUUCUUUAGGCAAGCUCUGAAACUUAGUUUUAUGAAAAUAAAAAUUGCGGUAAUAAUAUUUCACGAUCUGUAAGAACAGAAGGCUUUGUCCCUCUUCCCGUAGUAAGGAUUAAUUUCUGGAGGUUUGAGCAUAUAUAGUUCAGUGGUAGGGUGUUUGUCUGGCAUGCCGCAGACCAUGUCUCCCACCCACCAGCAUCACAUACAAAGCAGAAAGAAAAGAAAGAAAACGUCUUCCCAGGACAAAGCGCUUCAAGCUACUUUCUUCCUUUCACUACAACACUGAUCUCAAUGCCAGAUGUCAUAAAAUGCCUUAGAUAAAGAGGGUGCUCUGUUUCCCAAAGCUUGGUUUGGCAUUGAAACCAUUUUAAUAGGGAACUGUAUAAGAAAAUCUAAUAUAAUGCCUAAAAAAGGUACAGUUGUAGACCUGGUGGACGAGGUUGCCUUCUGGCUUGAGUUCAGGGUUUUUGUAAGAAAGUCCAAAAGAAGCCUUGGCUGCUAGAGACAGGAUCUCAGAUGUAUAAUUCAAACCAGCCUUGAGCUCUCGGUGAUCCUUCUGCUUUGGUUCCUUCAGUGCUGGGAUCACAGGCAUGAGCCACUUAGGCCUUGCUCAAAAACAUCUUUGGAAAGGGACAUUUUCAUUAGCCCAGGUUUGUCAAAGUAGCGUUUGUUCCAGUAGGAAUGCAAUCAAGUCAGUAUAUUGCCUGCUCCUAUCUUGCCAUAGUCUGUUGUUAGCAGGCCGUAGACCAGGGGCUGGAUCCGUGGAGCCUUAGAUGAAGAGGUGACUAUUAGCUCCUGAAUAAUCGUGAUGAUUACAGCUGAAACUGGGAAACACAGCUUCCACAACACUUACAGAACCACAUUUUUAAAAGUCUAAAAGUUAGGCCUUUACUGUCCUCUCUACUGAGCUGUUUGGUGCCAAGUAUUUGUGAAAAUUUAUGUUUCUUUGGUGCGUGUUUAUCUCUGAGCUGAAAAAUUUUAAACCAUUUUUAGCCCCUUCCUUCAAGGAUAUUGCUUGGCUUUUUGAUUUACACAAAUUAUAUUAUGUAGGUCAAAGCCUCGACUAGAAACUCAUCUAAAUAAGGUUUACCUUGGAAUCCCAUGUUUAAACAGCACUGGAAAGAAAUUUGCUUAGCUCAAUGGUUUUCACCAAAAGUAAGAUAGUCAGUGCUGAGUAUUUAUUUUGUUUGAAUUUUUCAGUACUUUUAAGGUAUAGCCCAUUUUAGGAAUAGAAAAGUGCAUUUUUAACACUCGUUUCUCCUGUGAUGUAUUAGACAAUGUUUGGACAAAAAUGUUUAUAUUUUUAUUGUACACAACUUUUUAACAUAAUAAAUCUUGUGUUUAGACGA